UGAGGAAUACAUCGGAAUCUACUUUUUCGUGGGGGAUAACGUAGGGAAACUUACGCUAAUACCGCAUACGACCUACGGGUGAAAGCAGGGGAUCUUCGGACCUUGCGCGAUUGAAUGAGCCGAUGUCGGAUUAGCUAGUUGGCGGGGUAAAGGCCCACCAAGGCGACGAUCCGUAGCUGGUCUGAGAGGAUGAUCAGCCACACUGGAACUGAGACACGGUCCAGACUCCUACGGGAGGCAGCAGUGGGGAAUAUUGGACAAUGGGCGCAAGCCUGAUCCAGCCAUACCGCGUGGGUGAAGAAGGCCUUCGGGUUGUAAAGCCCUUUUGUUGGGAAAGAAAUCCAGCCGGUUAAUACCUGGUUGGGAUGACGGUACCCAAAGAAUAAGCACCGGCUAACUUCGUGCCAGCAGCCGCGGUAAUACGAAGGGUGCAAGCGUUACUCGGAAUUACUGGGCGUAAAGCGUGCGUAGGUGGUUGUUUAAGUCUGUUGUGAAAGCCCUGGG
This 504-nucleotide ribosomal RNA is filed under the name uncultured bacterium. RNAcentral describes it as "bacterial SSU rRNA". It matches the Rfam family "Bacterial small subunit ribosomal RNA", at positions 107 to 607 of the family's 1533-position model. The record is from RNAcentral.